RNAcentral lists this ribosomal RNA (253 nucleotides) under uncultured bacterium. Its description in RNAcentral is "partial 16S ribosomal RNA". It matches the Rfam family "Bacterial small subunit ribosomal RNA", at positions 524 to 776 of the family's 1533-position model. The record is from RNAcentral.
UACGAAGGGGGCUAGCGUUGCUCGGAAUUACUGGGCGUAAAGCGCACGUAGGCGGCUUUCUAAGUCGGGGGUGAAAUCCUGGAGCUCAACUCCAGAACUGCCUUCGAUACUGGAGAGCUCGAGUCCGGGAGAGGUGAGUGGAACUGCGAGUGUAGAGGUGAAAUUCGUAGAUAUUAGGAAGAACACCAGUGGCGAAGGCGGCUCACUGGUCCGGUACUGACGCUGAGGUGCGAAAGCGUGGGGAGCAAACAGG